GCAGAACCGAUGUGAGACGCAUCAACAUAUGUAAUAAUUUGUAAUCAUAAAUGUAAGGGAGGUAAGUGGAGUCUCUUGGUGUCAGAGAAUAAACAGACUCAUGCAAUGGACAUAAAAGGAGCAAGUUUCUUUCUCAUGUCAAGUGAUGAAUAGGUAGAAGAUAUGUAAUGAGAGUAUAAGAUUAGUGAUAGAUGAUGUCAAAGGUAUGCUAAUCGGUAACUUGUAUGUAUUGUGAAAGUUUAUGGAAAGUUCUAGGAGGAGGAAAUGUGAUUAGGGAGAGAUAUCCUUGAAAUAUGAACACUCUCAUAGCAAAAGGAAUGAGAGGUAUUUAUGUGAGUGAUGGUUGAGAAACUGUUGAUCUGAUGUCCUGUGGCUAAAGUUUGAAUGGGUAGGCUUUGUAAGCAUUAAAAAUGUAAGGUCAAGGCCCAAUAUGUUUCCAAAUAUGCAUGGGUUGCAUUCAAGCCCAUUGGAUAAGGUCUAGAGAUUUGAGUUCUCCAUUGACAAGCACUCUUUGAGGCAACCUAGCCAAUUCUCCCUAAUCAUCCCUUAAUUUAAGUGUUACUUUUUUAGAACUCUGCCACUAUCUUUUUAAGUAAUCCUUUUCUUUUUGAUAGUGAUGUCUAUUUCCUUACUUUUAAGAAUCUGAAUUUAAUGCUAGAUUUCAGAUGUAUCUACACAAUCAAACUUCAAAUUCCCUAGUUAAAUUUGUAUUGAUGAAAAUUUUAAUUGGAAAAUAGUUUGGUUUUCACAACUUCCAAGUUAGAAAUUCUUCCUAUGCUAAUCAGCAAUUGGUUUUAAACCAUAUCAAUACAGGCGGAGGCCAGCUGUGGACAA
Molecule: unclassified non-coding RNA, 834 nt
Filed under: Hevea brasiliensis (rubber tree)
Lineage: Eukaryota; Viridiplantae; Streptophyta; Magnoliopsida; Malpighiales; Euphorbiaceae
Source: RNAcentral